RNAcentral lists this ribosomal RNA (252 nucleotides) under uncultured bacterium. Its description in RNAcentral is "partial 16S ribosomal RNA". It matches the Rfam family "Bacterial small subunit ribosomal RNA", at positions 524 to 776 of the family's 1533-position model. The record is from RNAcentral.
UACGAAGGGGCUAGCGUUGCUCGGAAUCACUGGGCGUAAAGCGCACGUAGGCGGACUCUUAAGUCGGUGGUGAAAUCCUGGAGCUCAACUCCAGAACUGCCUUCGAUACUGGGAGUCUCGAGUCCGAGAGAGGUGAGUGGAACUGCGAGUGUAGAGGUGAAAUUCGUAGAUAUUCGCAAGAACACCAGUGGCGAAGGCGGCUCACUGGCUCGGUACUGACGCUGAGGUGCGAAAGCGUGGGGAGCAAACAGG